GACGAACGCUGGCGGCGUGCUUAACACAUGCAAGUCGAACGGUGAAGCGAGUGCUUGCACUCGUGGAUCAGUGGCGAACGGGUGAGUAACACGUGAGUAACCUGCCCAUCACUCUGGGAUAAGCACUGGAAACGGUGUCUAAUACUGGAUACGACCAACCCUUGCAUGGGGUGUUGGUGGAAAGAUUUAUCGGUGAUGGAUGGACUCGCGGCCUAUCGGCUUGUUGGCGGGGUAAUGGCCCACCAAGGCGACGACGGGUAGCCGGCCUGAGAGGGUGACCGGCCACACUGGGACUGAGACACGGCCCAGACUCCUACGGGAGGCAGCAGUGGGGAAUAUUGCACAAUGGGCGAAAGCCUGAUGCAGCGGCGCCGCGUGAGGGAUGACGGCCUUCGGGUUGUAAACCUCCUUCAGCAGGGAAGAAGCGAAAGUGACGGUACCUGCAGAAGAAGCACCGGCUAACUACGUG
This 469-nucleotide ribosomal RNA is filed under the name uncultured bacterium. RNAcentral's name for it is "partial 16S ribosomal RNA". It matches the Rfam family "Bacterial small subunit ribosomal RNA", at positions 28 to 507 of the family's 1533-position model. The record is from RNAcentral.